Molecule: long non-coding RNA, 3940 nt
Organism: Leucoraja erinaceus (little skate)
Lineage: Eukaryota; Metazoa; Chordata; Chondrichthyes; Rajiformes; Rajidae
Exons: 3
Source: RefSeq, a predicted model, not a curated record
AGGUAUAUGGGACUAGGGGAGAUUAUGUGUUCGGCACGGACUAGAAGGGUCGAGAUGGCCUGUUUCCGUGCUGUAAUGGUUAUAUGGAGAGAAGGCGACUAGGAGCAAGUGCCAAUGGUAAUUGCAGAACGCGACACCUGUAUGCCAAGAAAUCUCUGGUAAUGAAGCCUAUCUUUGUCACAGGACAGAAGUCACACCUAAGUCAACACUGGACAAAAUGAGGAAUAAACAUACAGGGGAGGAACAGAAGCAUUAGAACCCUACCAUGGAUUGGCACUCGGAAACCAAGGAAUCACAACUGACCAGAAGUAGCUGGAGCUAACGUCGAUGGGGAACCAAGCUGGUCUCCUCUUCGCAGUGUCAUUGGAUUCACCAUUAGAGCAAAGCCAGAAGGAAAAUGGCAAAUAGCCUAACCAGCUCUGGGAGGACUCUGCUAGCAAGGCAGAAUCUCCAGGAAUGAUGCAUUUUUUUGAUUGAAGAUGGAGCCAUCACCAAUUCAACACCGAACUAAAGACAGCACCAGUGAUAACGGGGAGGAAAAGACCCAGCCAGGACCAAACGAGAUCAUGAGCAUCACAACUGCGCUGCUUAUUAGUGGGAAACACAAGCGAGGAUGUUGAAGAGAUCAAUGUGUGCCAUCCAAGAGAAGAUUCGUCAGCUGGAGAGAAAAUGAAUAGGAGCAGGAGGCAAAGAGUUACGACAAAUGACCCACUUUCGUCAGCCAAGCGAGACGGUUAAAGAGAGUGUGCUGGGCCCUCAGGGAGCGAGGAAGACGGAUGGUGCCAUCCCAGAGAGGACUCGACAGCUGAAGACGGGCCCAUGGUGGGUUCCGGAGGUUUGCGAAGAUGGCCCCUCGGUGUGGGCCAGAGGUCGGAGGGAAGAUGAAGAGGAGCAUGUGCCAAUGUUAGUUGACAAUGCAGAAUGCGACACCUGUUUAAACCAGAAUCUGUAGUUCCUAUAUGUUAAGGCUUGUUCUUGUGUGAUGCUGUUUUAGCGAUGGAUCCAUAUAUUGUUUUGAGAUGGAUGCAAUGCCUCUUCAGUAGCUAUAACUUACAUGUUUUAAAUGGCUUGGGUAUUAAAUCGAGCAGGAGUUUGAGACUUUUGUAAUGGAUUGACUGAAGAACGAGUGAUGGAGAAUCUGAUGGAUCGCUUGAAGAAAGUUUACAAAAUUACCCCUGGUUUGAAGCUAAUGAUGUCACCUCGCUGUCGCACAAGCAAUAUAACUGAUCAGUGUAUGUUAACUUAAACAUAAUAGGAUGUCCGUGGAUUGUCAUGGUGGAGAUGGUUGUGUGGUCCUGCAAUCUUGAGAGCAAUGCCGUAUGGAGGUAUGCUACUGCUAUGGCCACCCGUGGUGGUAUGGUCGAAGGGGAGGUCCCUGCUAAGAACAAUUCAACCAAGACCUCAUUGGUGGAACAGGCGGAGGAUGAUGGCUGACUUUAGUGGAGUGUCACAACGGCUGGGAAGGCAGAUGAAGGCUGCAGCAGAAAAAGGUCCCCAGUCGUCUUGUACUCCAUGCCACUGGAUCCUGACCCAGAUCUGUCAAGGACCGUGCAGUAGCUGUGACCCAGGUUCGAUCCUGACUACGGGGGCUCUCUAUGGAAUUUGUUCGUUCUCCCCGUGACUUGUGUCGGUUUUCUGAGAUGUUCAGUUAACUCCCACACUCAAGGUGUACAGGUUUGUAGGUUAAUUGGGUACGGUAAAAUUAUAAAUUGCUCCAGUGCGUGAUAGUGUUACUGUGCGGGGAUCGUUAUUGUAUAGACUCGGUGAGCCGAAGGGCCUGUUUUUGUGCUGAAUCUCUAAACUAAACUAAUUCACUCUCUCUUGUGCCCUUGCCUCUGUCUCUGUCUCCGAUUUCACCAAUGGAUACGGAGGACCUCCACUCCCAGUAACCUUCCUCCUCAACCCUCCUAUGCUGUCUUGGGUAAGCAGAAGUUACCAGUCGUCUAUAUUGAUGGACCCGUGCUCUCAGAUCUUAGCUAUCAUGGACUUUCUGUGGGCCAAUGAGCUUAACAUGGCCAAUUUGCACACUGACAGUUGCCGUCUUGCCUGAGGAGAUCCAGAGCAUCUGCAAUCUUCCCUCGCUCAAUCCAAUAAAGCCUCUGCUGGGUUUGAUCCAGAGUACGAGGCAGUGCCCUAACCAUUAGAGAUUGAUGCCAUGUUGAAAAUAAUCUCAAGUAUUCUGAAAGGAAUGGAUGGAUCCUGCUUCUUAUUGCUCCCUCCAACAAGAUGGUGGUGGUACGCUUCAUCCUCCAGAUCACCGCUACAGCAGUCUGCAGUACCAUCGGGCAGCUCAUUAUGAUGAUGGUAGCUGGAAUCACCAGGACAAUGGUCCAGACUUCCAAUUUGUACAUUGACAUCAUUGAAACCGCCUUAUUGGGUUAAAGCACAGAAUGGAUUUAGAUGAAUGGAAAUAAUAUGAGUCCCUGAAUUCCAUCAUCACCAAAAAAGCAUACCAUUGUUUCUACUUCCUCAGGAUAUUUGACAUUAAUUUAAAGACUCUUACCAACAUCUGCAGUUGGAACUGUAGAAAACGUACUGCCGGGUUGUAUCACUACUUAGUUUGGGAACAGCUUUGCCCAAGACCACAAGAUAUUGCAGAGUUGUGGAUCUCUCCAGCACACGGGCCAGACUUCCCACCAUUAACUCCAUCUACACUUCGCUCUCUUGGGAAAGCAGCCAACAUAAUCAAAGACCUUUUCCACCCUUGUCAUUUCCACUAUUCCCUGCUUCCACCACAAAGAGGAUAUGAUAUAAAAGCCUGAAAGUGUAUACCUUCAGACUCAGGAACAGCUUCUUCCCCUGUUAUUUGAAUUCUGAAUGGUCCUUCCAGAAGCUAAGAUAACUUUCCUAAUUUCCAACCAACAUCAUUGUGAACAUUGGACUUUUUCUCAGAAACGAUUAUGCCACAAUGUUGAGAAACUGUAUGCUGCACUAUGCAUGUUUCUCCUCUCUCUACGUAAGGUGCUUGUGUAUGGCUUGAUUGUAUUUAUGUACAGUAUUACCUGAUUUAAUUCGAUAGUAUGCAAAUAAAAGCUUUUCACUGUAAAUCAGUGUACACAACAAUAAAGCAAUUUAAACUUGUUUUGUGUGCAACAGUAAAUGACUUCACAUUGCCCAUAUUAUAUUAUUUCUGUUGUGUUCUGGCCCACACACUCAGCUUGUUUCUAUCCCUUUAAAAACUCUUUACAUCUUUCUCACUGUUCAAACAUUUCCCAUGUUUUGUAUCAUCAGUAAAACUGGAAGUGCGAUAUUUGGCUGCCUCAUCCAACUAGUUGAAGAAGACCUGUGUUACCCCACCUAUUUACUCCCAAUCCUUGGUUUCAGCCUGUCAGCCAAUUCUCAAUAGCCAGCAGUAUACUACACUAAUCACAUACCUUCUGAAGUUCUAAAUGUACCACUGCCAUUGUCUAUUUAACCAACCAUAUCCUCAAAUAUCUUCAAAAAAAUUAACUAUGCACUUUUCUGGAUUAAAUUCCAUUAACUAUUGAUCAGACCAUUUGCCCAACUGAUUUAGAUCCUGCUGUUGUUUUUGAUAACAAUUUUCACUGUCUAUGAUACCACACACGUUAGUGCCAUCUGCAGACCUCCAGUCCCAAAAGGCCACGCCAUUACAACUUUGCUGCUUAAUUAGUCCAUUUUGAUCAUUUUAGCAAGUCUACGGCUGUCUUGUAAUCCCUUGGGAAAGCAGCCAACAUUUGUACUUUUUCAUUCCAUAACUUAGUUCAUCAGGCACCAUCUCCACCUCCCAAAAUAUUUGAGGAGAUUGGGCCAUUGUUUUGUGAUAAAUGGGAAUAUUUAGAAAUGCUAACAACAUCUUCGAAACUGCACAUUAUUAGUCUGAGGUUGAAACUGUUAGGUCGUUUGGCCCAUCAAGUCUACUCCGCCAUUCAAUCAUGGCUGAUCUAUCUCCCUCCUACCCCAUUCUGUCUUUUCCCCAUAA